This 253-nucleotide ribosomal RNA is filed under the name uncultured bacterium. Its description in RNAcentral is "partial 16S ribosomal RNA". It matches the Rfam family "Bacterial small subunit ribosomal RNA", at positions 524 to 776 of the family's 1533-position model. The record is from RNAcentral.
UACGUAGGGGCCGAGCGUUGUCCGGAGUUAUUGGGCGUAAAGCGCGCGCAGGCGGCCUCGCGCGCCCGACGUGAAAGCCCCCGGCUCAACUGGGGAGGGUCACUCGAUACUGAUCGACUCGAAGGCAGGAGAGGGUAGUGGAAUUCCCGGUGUAGCAGUGAAAUGCGUAGAGAUCGGGAGGAUCAUCUAAGGAGACGGCGGCCACCGAGACCUACACUGACACUGAGGCGCGAAAGCUAGGGGAGCAAACAGG